UACGUAGGGUGCGAGCGUUAAUCGGAAUUACUGGGCGUAAAGCGUGCGCAGGCGGUUCGUUAAGUUCGUUGUGAAAGCCCCGGGCUCAACCUGGGAACGGCAAUGGAAACUGGCGGGCUGGAGUGUGGCAGAGGGGGGUGGAAUUCCACGUGUAGCAGUGAAAUGCGUAGAGAUGUGGAGGAACACCGAUGGCGAAGGCAGCCCCCUGGGCCAACACUGACGCUCAGGCACGAAAGCGUGGGGAGCAAACAGG
RNAcentral lists this ribosomal RNA (253 nucleotides) under uncultured bacterium. RNAcentral describes it as "partial 16S ribosomal RNA". It matches the Rfam family "Bacterial small subunit ribosomal RNA", at positions 524 to 776 of the family's 1533-position model. RNAcentral also lists the same sequence under 1 other name. The record is from RNAcentral.